AUUUAAAUCCUACAUGGCGCCUCAUACGAUCAACUCAAUCUCUGAAAAUGUAUGAAGAACAUUAAAACCUGCCAUGUGAAAAACAGCGCCUAUCUUAGCUUGGUUUGAACACCAAAAGAGGUGAAGGCUUUAGUGGAGAAGAGUAAAUGUACCCGCCCCUAUGACGUCACCACCGGACCUGGUUGAAACCAAGGCUGAAACAGGUGAGACCAUAUUUGGCGCGUGACACGUGACUAUCUUUGGCGCGUCUGCUAAAUAGGUUAAUAACCCUCUGAUGCUGAGUGAGCUUCUCUUUCAUUAUGACCCGGGGCGGACUUACCAAAGACAGCACCAGGACAUUUCACGUUGACCUAAUGGUCAAUCUGGAGUGCCACCGUGAAUCUGGACCAAUCGCCCACCACCAAGCGUAAAAGGCAGUCCAUUGAGUCCUGAGUGUCUUCUGGAUGGACCUGAUUGGGGUCAGCAGAUCCUCCACUGUGAACAUCUGGAGGGCCCUGAUCCGCAUCAGCAGAUCCUCCACUGGGAACAUAUGGAGGAACCUGAUCCACACUGGCAGAUCCUCCACUAGGAACGUCUGGAGGGACCUGAUCCACACCAGCAGAUCCUCCACAAGGUACGUCAGGAGGGACCUGUUCCACACCAGCAGAUCCUCCACGAGGUACAUCUGGAGGGACCUGUUUCACACUGGCAGGUUCCACGUGGAGGACGCUUCCACAGAUGUGCCUGAGUUUUAAUUGAAGUGGGAGCUGGUUUGCCAGCUCCUCAAUAGUGCCUGCAUAGAAAUGUACAGGCACUAUGUACUCAUCCAUAUGGCUAUCCAGGAGGAUGAGCUUGUCGUGCAUCUCUGACACUCCAACGAUCUCAAGAACUGCCUCCUGGAUAUCCCUAUCAAUAAGCUGAAAAACAAAAAAAAUUUAGAAAAGGUGACUGAGCUCAAUGAUGUCCCCGACAUAGAGCUCGUUAAGUGCUUCUUCCCGCCACAGUGAGACAUCGUGUACUACGGAGCCACAUUUCAUCCGCAGGUCCAGGAUCGGUAUGUGAGUGCGAGUCAUUCUAGGCACUUCAACCUGGAAAAUGACAAAAAGGUCGUGAAGGAGGACAGAGGGCCUCCCUUGCAGCUCUUUUAGCCUCCUCACUUAUGGCUAGCGGAGCGGUCCUAAAUUUGAUGGUGCCUUUAUUUACAAAUA
This is a non-coding RNA of Danio rerio (zebrafish), 1187 nucleotides long. The record is from RefSeq and is a predicted model, not a curated record. NCBI's taxonomy places the organism in Eukaryota, Metazoa, Chordata, Actinopteri, Cypriniformes, Danionidae.